Molecule: ribosomal RNA, 427 nt
Filed under: uncultured bacterium
Lineage: Bacteria
Description: partial 16S ribosomal RNA
Rfam family: Bacterial small subunit ribosomal RNA
Source: RNAcentral
UGGGGAAUAUUGGACAAUGGGCGAAAGCCUGAUCCAGCCAUGCCGCGUGUGUGAAGCAGGACUUCGGAUUGUAAAGCACUUUAAGUUGGGAGGAAGGGCAUUAACCUAAUACGUUAGUGUUUUGACGUUACCGACAGAAUAAGCACCGGCUAACUCUGUGCCAGCAGCCGCGGUAAUACAGAGGGUGCAAGCGUUAAUCGGAAUUACUGGGCGUAAAGCGCGCGUAGGUGGUUUGUUAAGUUGGAUGUGAAAUCCCCGGGCUCAACCUGGGAACUGCAUUCAAAACUGACUGACUAGAGUAUGGUAGAGGGUGGUGGAAUUUCCUGUGUAGCGGUGAAAUGCGUAGAUAUAGGAAGGAACACCAGUGGCGAAGGCGACCACCUGGACUAAUACUGACACUGAGGUGCGAAAGCGUGGGGAGCAAACA